UACCAGUAUCUACUAUAUAUAAACGAUACAAGGCAGUGCGGUCCCAAGAUUAGCAAACAUCAAUGCCAACAACGAUAUAGUGAUGGCUGCUCACAUUAGAUAGUGUGACAGAAUAUUGUGUGUUGUGUUUUUUGAGGUACCAUAAACUUUACACGUGCGUGGAUACCAGCUGUAAACUGUUGUCUACGCAAUUUAAAAGAUAAUGUUUAAAACAAUAUCUUGUACACAUCUCCUGAGUGACUGACUGUGUAACAGAGAACUUCGGGAAUUUGAGUUAGUAGCAUGGUACCCUUGCACUCAAAUGAAUAGGUGUUCACAAGGCCUGUGAAAUGUAACAAACAUCAAGAUUGUCAUAGAAAGACACAUACAUGCACUCAUUACAUAAGUUGAAUGAUAGUUAUGUUGGCGUACACUUCUAUAAGUUACAAGUAUGAUAUGUACAGUAUCUCAAGGAUACUGAGGGUGCCUGUAGUGGUAUUACCUUGAUGGGAAGUAGUGACAGAAUAUGAUACAACCCAUUAACUUUGGCCAGUGACACACAAAGUGACAUGGUGACAGUGGCACUGUACAAUCAAGCUUGUUUUAAUUAUAAAAGUAUCGAGACAUCUGUAGGAGUAUUGGGGAUUUGGGACUAAUGUUCUUCUCAUUGACAUCUCCAAACAUGGUAAAAUCUUGAAAUAUUGAGCUACAGGAAGAAAAUAUGGAUCUUUUAAAUUGGGAAUGCACUAUGUAUAAAAAAUAAAAAUGAGAUUUCAUGACACAUCCAUUGGCAUCACCAACUAACAACCAGGCUACGUGCAAUAUAUUUGCAUUUGCGAAUAUGGACUAUCAUCAGCUGUAUAAUGGAAUGACGACAAUGAAAAUUUGUGCUGGACUGGGACUCAUACCCGGAUUUCGCACUUAUUGUGAGCGGUUGCCGUACCAAACCUGUCCGACACAAAUUUUCAUUGUCGUCAUUCCAUUAUACAGCUGAUGGUAGUCCAUAUUUGCAAAGGAGAGUGCCUUUCAUGUAAUUCAUGAUGGCUGUUGUCACCGCAGUGCUUGUUCCUUCAGACAUGCAUGCAUCUGCGAAGGAACAUUACAUCAUAAAUUGGAAAAAUAUAGUCACUGCAGUAUCAUAUUGUAACAACCAGUCUGUCACCUAACCUAACCUAGACCAAAGGUUUAAAAGUGCUGAGAAUCAUGUCACUGAUCAAAGCGGAAUGGCAGUAUCAAUAUCUUAAAUACACCAUUGCUGCAGCACAUUGAGAGGGGCUGUAGCAAUAAUGUCCUGAUAUUACAGAUUAUAGAAGGGUUUGAGGAACAAGUGGAGUAAGAGUGGUCCCUUGACAUAAUCUGCUAGAAUUGACACACAAGCAGUUGUGAUGAGCUUGGUGACUGCUGUGUCAUUGGUUAGUUAUGAGCCAAGAAACCAGUGUCUUGGCAGUGUGGCUGUAGCCUUGUCUUCUGUAGGUGCACAACAUGUGCAACCCACUCAGCUGUUGGUUAUACCAUGAACCAGCAUCGUAUGGAGUGUCCUGUAUGUUGCAUUUGGUGAUUCAUGGACUUGUCAAAAUAUGGCAUUGGGAUUUUCUUAAUCCUCGUCUCUUUAAAUUGUUAUGCCUUUUGCAUCCUAUAAGGCACUAAUUUAUAUAGGGAAAUGAAAAUUAAGUUGUAGCGAAAACUCCUCUCUUUUAUACUUAUUUAAAAAUCUGUGCAAUAUGGUGAGCAAUCAUUCACUGUAUUAUGCAGUUAAAUUUUGUUUUUAUUUUCAAGGAGUGCGUAGAUCCUGGUUGUAAAUAUGUACAAAGCCUUUCUUGUGUGGCUUGUUAGGCCUUGCAUUUGUUCUUCACAUAGAACUGGUGGACUGCACUGUAGUCUUCCGCACUUCCCUAGCUGGCUCUUAUUUUGGUGAGCUUGUCUUACUCGAAUGCUUGUGGCCACAUGUGUAACAUCUAUUUACAAUUCAUAUCAGUGACAUUGUCUUAUUUCUUGGUAGGCAGAAAACAAUAACAGUAAAAAUUACAACCUGUGAAUGUGUUUUUGCUGUCAUUAGAUGUCUAAGUGGUGAGCCAUAGUCCAUGUUUUCCUAUCUUGUGCUGACAUUUUCAUCUCCACGUAUUACACCCAACAUCUGCUUUAGAUAGUCUGUUCUCUGUCAGCCCCUAUAAUUUUCCUGCUGUACUGCUCCUGGUGCCAAGUCAGCUGUUACUGGAUGCCACAGCAUAUGUUCCACUGAUCUGCCACUUUGUAUAGUAAGGGUCUUCUGUAGACGUCUUUACUCACAUAUUCAUUUUAGUAUCUGUUCAAUAUGCAGUUUCAUCUGUUCACUUAAUUUUUCAGUCUUUAACACCACAUUUAAGUUUCUUCAUAUCCAGAUUUCCAGUUAGUUCACAUUUCACUUCCAAACAAUUCUGUGCUCUAUAUGUAUUCUGUCAGGGACGUCUUCCUCAUUUCCAUUUUGCUGUCUUAUACCAACAGACCUUUUUUUCUUUUUCUAAUUGAAAUGAGCUUUCUUUGACUGGAUUCUCUAUUCUUCGAUAACUUCCUCGCUUCGGCCAUCCUUUCCAAUCAAACUCAUAGAGAGGAAAUUUAUCUCAAUACUCCCAUCACUGUGAAUGCCCGCUCAUAUGUACCUAUUAUAUUAAAUCAGUUUUUGGCCGCAGUCAUAUGUGAAUUGCUUGUAUUGUUUUUACUUUGGUGGAGGUUUUCAUAGUGUGCAUAAAAGACUUUGGCAAGGUCACCACAAGGCUUCAACAAGGCAAUUAGUACAUUUGGGAUGCACUCAUGCAUUAGAUGUAUACUGUUCCCCACAGCACAAAUGUCAUAUAGUUCGUAACAAUCAGUAAUUUAGAUUACAUUAAAAUCUAUGUUUAGAAGGGCAUCCAUUGUUUUGUAAUGGUUCUAGUGCAUGUUUGUGUCUCCUUAUGACAAUUUUUCCAUGUAAAACCUAUUAGUUAUCCUGAAUGCCCUGUAAGAUAGAAGGUAUAGUUGUGGGUGUUCCCCCUGGCUAACUAUUCCAUUUGCCUAUGCAGUAUUUUGAUUACAUUUCAGUAUUACUCAUUUUAUGGACUGAGGGUAAUAGCUGUUAAGUAAGUUGUUAUAUUUAUUCAGCAUACAACACACGAUAAGGCAAUGUUGUCACACAGCUACUUUGUAUGUUAAAGUAUGUCUCAUUAAUGUUUCAAAAACGGACAGUGACGUGUGUGUCCCAAAACUGACAGCUGUCUUUUUUUUUUAACAUUGCUUUGUUGUGUAUUGUAUGCUGAAUAAAUAUAAGACUUGGAUAGUGGAUUAGUGAGGUACUGCUACCAGUGACCCAAAUUACACACACUGUCUGGACUCAACCUUUCCACUGAAUAUGAUUAAGGCAGUCUCUUAAGCCAUCUAGUAAUGAUGGAUUUAUCAGUGAGUGAGCAUUAUGCUGGAGAAUAGAAUUGUGACCUUCACGAGCAGUGGUUAGAAGAGUGGAAAGUUCUGUUUAGUGAAUUUAAUAAUACGUUAUGUGAAUAUGUCUAAAUAACUUAAGCAAUUCCUCUUCAUCUCCGAAAUAUGUACUGUCUAUGUAUCUGCAUGACAUUCCAAAGCUGCUGAGAUGACAAAAUUUGCGAUAUUAGCUUUGUGUUUUAUUACCUGUAUUGCUGAUGAAUGAAUGGGAAAAAUGAUUCAAGUACAUAUGAAAA
Molecule: long non-coding RNA, 3662 nt
Organism: Schistocerca piceifrons (Central American locust)
Lineage: Eukaryota; Metazoa; Arthropoda; Insecta; Orthoptera; Acrididae
Exons: 3
Source: RefSeq, a predicted model, not a curated record